ACGAGCCAGCAAUACAGAGGCGCUCGUCUCGCUCGUUGGUCAGCCAGAGCAGAAGGCGCACGCAACUCGCAGUCGAAAACCUAAUCCCCAAUCCUCAUCUGGCAUCCGGCCAUCCCCAAUUCCCCAUCCCCAUCCAGCCCUCCCGCCGGGGCCGUCCGGCCAUCCGGGCGUCCGCCGCUCCGUCCUGUCAUUCCACCAAGAAGAGACGCCGCUCCGCUCCCCUUCGAAGGAGCGCUGCCUUGUGCCUUGCCUGCCUGCUCCCUGCUGGAUCUCCCUCUACCACGAGCAGCCAGCCCGCCAGUCGCCAGACGUCGGUCCGAACUCUGAAGCAAGGCAGCAAGCACUCGGCGCCGCGGGCCGCCGAUCCGGAGCGCGGAGGAGAUGACGGGCUGUUGCCCAAGCUCCUGAAUGGCUGAUUCCCCCUGAAUCCCUAGUUUCUGACGCCCUUUGGCCUUUGGAAUCGAAGAUGAAGAGGAAUGGUGACAUUAAGUCCUUUUUUCAGAAUUAUGAGGCUGCUAAAAGAAGGAAGGUUGCAACCGAAGAGCAACCUGAAGAUAUAGUGUCAAAUAUUGAAGAUGAAGCAGUCCAUUCUCCACCUCGAGUCCAUUCUGCAGAGAUUGAAUUUGAUAUUGGAGAUGAAGCAGUCCAUUCCGAUGCAGAGAUUGAAAGUGAUAGUGAAGAUGAAGCAGUCCAUUCUCCGUGUGCAAGGCCAUAUAAUAUUCAAAGGCUUCCUCCUGAUCCAGGGUAGAGGAUUCCUAUUUCAGAGUAUGAUGUCGAUGAUCAAGAUGAAGUUCGGAGACGAUACAUUGCAAAGCAAGCAGUCCAACCAUAUGCACACAACUUUCAAGUCAGGAAAAUCUAUGGUAAAAAUCGACACUUCAACUUUGUUUGGUUUGAGACCUACAAAUGGUUAGAAUAUAGUGUCAAAUACGAGGCAGCAUUUUGCUUUGUGUGUUAUUUGUUCAAAGGGAAAUCUAAUGGGGGCCUAGGGGUGAUGCCUUUGUUAAUGGUGGUUGGAAAAAUUGGUAUAAGCCCGAUGCAUUGGUCAAACAUGUUGGUGGUUUUAAUAGCAUUCACAACAAAGCUCAAGAGAAGUACAAUUUAUUUGUGGCACCCCAACCAUCAAUUGAUAACAUUAUGGUGAGGGUGGAUAAAGAGGAUUUGCGUAUGUACAAGGCUAGGCUGACUUAUUCACUUAGAUGCUUGAGGUUUCUUUUGAACCAAGGAUUGGCAUUUCGUGGACAUGAUGAGAGUGAAGAAUCUAGCAAUAGGGGGAACUUUCUUGAACUUCUUAAAUGGCUUUUAGAAAAUAAUGAAGAAGUUAAUAAACUUGUUUUGAACAA
Molecule: long non-coding RNA, 1343 nt
Organism: Triticum aestivum (bread wheat)
Lineage: Eukaryota; Viridiplantae; Streptophyta; Magnoliopsida; Poales; Poaceae
Exons: 2
Source: RefSeq, a predicted model, not a curated record